UACUAGAGUAGCACUCGCAUAUCAAUAAGCGGAGGAAAAGAAACUAACAAGGAUUCCCCUAGUAACGGCGAGUGAAGCGGGAAGAGCUCAAAUUUGAAAUCUUAAAGGGUUUCCCUUUACGAAUUGUAGUUUAAAGAAGUGUUUUCUGUUGAGGUUUUGGUAAAAGUUCUUUGGAAUAGGACAUCAUAGAGGGUGAGAAUCCCGUAUUUGACCUUUACUUUCAACUUUGUGAUACACUUUCAAAGAGUCGGAUUGUUUGGGAAUGCAGUCCAAAAUGGGUGGUAAAUUUCAUCUAAAGCUAAAUAUUGGCGAGAGACCGAUAGCGAACAAGUACCGUGAGGGAAAGAUGAAAAGAACUUUGAAAAGAGAGUUAAACAGUACGUGAAAUUGUCAAAAGGGAAGCGUUUGACACCAGUGUUGUUUUUCUGAAAAUCAAUUAAAGAACUGUUUAUGCUAAGUUGUUUAGACUUUAUCAGCUAACUGUUUAGUUUUGAGCUUUUCUUUAAUGCACUUUUCAGUUAACAAGUCAACAUCAAUUUCUUUUGCUGUAAAAAAGCUUGAGGAAGGUGGCUUGAGAUUCGUCUUAAGUGUUUAUAGCCUCUUGCCUAUGCAGUCGGAGAGAUUGAGGUCUGCAGCGUAGAUCCUUCGGGGCUAAAUGCAUUUGUGCUAAGUUAUAGCAUUUUAUAGACAACUUGUUGACUAUGAUUUGUCUUGUAGCUUACUCGCUUAUGUUAUUUUACCUACGCUUAGGAUGUUGAGUAGCGACAUACGCAC
RNAcentral lists this ribosomal RNA (774 nucleotides) under uncultured Neocallimastigales. RNAcentral's name for it is "partial large subunit ribosomal RNA". It matches the Rfam family "Eukaryotic large subunit ribosomal RNA", at positions 20 to 649 of the family's 3401-position model. The record is from RNAcentral. Lineage: Eukaryota; Fungi; Neocallimastigomycota; Neocallimastigomycetes; Neocallimastigales.